UGGGGAAUAUUGCACAAUGGGCGCAAGCCUGAUGCAGCCAUGCCGCGUGUAUGAAGAAGGCCUUCGGGUUGUAAAGUACUUUCAGCGGGGAGGAAGGGAGUAAAGUUAAUACCUUUGCUCAUUGACGUUACCCGCAGAAGAAGCACCGGCUAACUCCGUGCCAGCAGCCGCGGUAAUACGGAGGGUGCAAGCGUUAAUCGGAAUUACUGGGCGUAAAGCGCACGCAGGCGGUUUGUUAAGUCAGAUGUGAAAUCCCCGGGCUCAACCUGGGAACUGCAUCUGAUACUGGCAAGCUUGAGUCUCGUAGAGGGGGGUAGAAUUCCAGUUGUAGCGGUGAAAUGCGUAGAGAUCUGGAGGAAUACCGGUGGCGAAGGCGGCCCCCUGGACGAAGACUGACGCUCAGGUGCGAAAGCGUGGGGAGCAAACAGG
This 429-nucleotide ribosomal RNA is filed under the name Chloroflexota bacterium. Its description in RNAcentral is "Chloroflexi bacterium partial 16S ribosomal RNA". It matches the Rfam family "Bacterial small subunit ribosomal RNA", at positions 355 to 776 of the family's 1533-position model. RNAcentral also lists the same sequence under 1 other name. Lineage: Bacteria; Bacillati; Chloroflexota. The record is from RNAcentral.